Molecule: long non-coding RNA, 1120 nt
Filed under: Brassica rapa (field mustard)
Lineage: Eukaryota; Viridiplantae; Streptophyta; Magnoliopsida; Brassicales; Brassicaceae
Description: long non-coding RNA (BRAP_LNC002255)
Source: RNAcentral
GACAUAACGGCCAUACCAUUCGCAGAGGACUUUUCCUCGCCUGGAGCUUCCGCCGGCGAAGUGAUUUCACCGGAGGCAGACGGACCCACCGUCGAACCUGACGGAGCACCUCCGGAGGGACCCAUCGCCGAGGCUGAGGGAGCAUCCCCGGAAGGACCCAUCGCCGAGGCUGAGGGAGCAUCUCCGGAAGGACCCAUCGCCGAACCUGACGGGGCAUCUCCCGAGGGACCCAUCUCCGACGGCGAGUAUGCUGACGGAGAAUCUGACGGCGAAUAAGAAACAGAGGAAGGAGAUCCUGCGGGAGACGAAGAUGGGGAUCCGGCGGAAGAAGAUUUUGGUGCCAUUGAUCCUGACGGUGAAUAACCCGGUGCAUACGACGGAGGAGCUGGCGGAGAAGUCACCGGAGAAGUUGCCGGAGAAACAGGGGAAGAUGAUUUAGGUGACAUUGAUCCCGGCGGUGAAGAACCCGGUGCAUACGACGGAGGAGCUGGCGGAGAAGUUGCCGGAGAACCAGCGGAGGAAGAUUUAGGUGGCAUUGAACCCGGCGGAGAAGUCACCGGAGAAGACGACGGAGAACCAGGGGAAGAUGAUUUAGGUGACAUUGAUCCCGGCGGAGAAGAUGACGGAGAACCAGGGAAUGAGGAUUUAGGUGGCAUUGAUCCCGGCGGAGAAGUCAUCGGAGCAGAGGACGGAGAACCAGGGGAAGAGGAUUUAGGUGGCAUAGGUGCGGGUGGAGAAGUCGACGGAGACAUAUGAGAGGAAGAUUUAGGUGCCAUUGAACCUGGUGGAGAAGUUGCCGGAGACUUAGCGGAGGAUGAUUUAGGUGGCAUUGAUCCCGGCGGAGAAGUCACUGGAGAAGAAGACGGAGAAACAGGGGAAGAUGAUUUAGGUGGUGUAUGUGCCGGUGGAGACGUCGCCGGAGAAACAGGGGAUGAAGAUGAUUUAGGUGGCAUUGUUCCCGGUGGAGAAGUCACCGGAGAAACAGGGGAAGUAGAUUUAGGUGGCAUAGGUGCCGGUGGAGAAGUCGCCGGAGAAACAUGGGAAGAAGACUUAGGUGGCAUUGAUCCCGGCGGAGAAGUCACCGGAGCAGAAGACGGAGAAACAGGGGAAGAAGAUUUAG